Dromaius novaehollandiae (emu) is the source of this 3930-nucleotide long non-coding RNA. RefSeq lists it as uncharacterized. The record is from RefSeq and is a predicted model, not a curated record. The transcript is spliced from 2 exons. Lineage: Eukaryota; Metazoa; Chordata; Aves; Casuariiformes; Dromaiidae.
GAAGAGGGAGAGGGGGUGUGGAGAGGGGGGUGGUGGCCGCGGCGCCAUGUUGAUGGCGUGGGACGCUUUUAGCCCGGGAGGAGAGACGGGGGAACCGGGUUAAAAUGUCGGAAAAGGGGGAAGGGCGGGAGAUAGGUGUUCCUUCGGGGGCGGGAAGAGACAGCGGAGAGGAGGAGAGGGCGGCUGAGGGGGCAUCGGAAGACCUGGGGCGGCGGCCGGUUGCUCCUGGCGGAGCCGUAGGUCCCCGCACCGGGCGGGGGGCGCAGCGCUGGUCUGGGGCCUUUUCCCUGGCCGCCUUUGCGGGCCGGCGGGGAGCGGCGCCGCUGAGGUGGGUCCGUGGAAGGGGCCGCCGGCUGGCGUUGCAUGGCGCGGGGCAGGCGGCGGCGUGUGUCGGGGGCGGGUGCCGCUGGUGCUGUGGAGGCCGGUGCGGCCCCUCAGGGCUGCGCGCCCGGGCGGGGGGCCCGGUGCGGUGGACGCGGCCGCCGGGGUCUGGGGCGGGUGAGAGGGACUAGCCGCACGCCGUGGUUUAAAGAGCAGGGCUGAAAGCUUGGCCUGGCCGUGCUGGGGUGGGGGAGGCUCUGAGCAGGGCUCAGGCCAGGACGUGCGCGUCUCACGAAGCAGGUGAGUGUUUGUGGUCCCCGCUGCUGGGCUCUUUCAGGGGUUUAGGCUUCGGUCUGAUGUUUGGUAACUGCACUAAUCUUAAUUGGCUGUCAUCAUGUGUGGCUUAUUGUGCCCAGCAGGAGGAGCUUUGUUUCAUCCUAAAGGCAAAUCCUGUCGCUGUAGACCACGAUAUUAUACACUCUAGAGACGUAAACUAACAUUGAAGAAGCUGAUGGGAUGGGUGAGGUGGUGUAAGACCUUUUAACAUGGUGUGGGAGCAGCUAAGCUAACUUGCUUCUGUAUUUUCUUACCUGCUUUAGCUGUCUGGUGUUGGCAUGGCUUAGCCUCCUGAUCAGCUUUUCGAUGCUGUCUUGGGUUCAGCAAGCCCUUGAGUCCAGCGCACCUUCUGGCUGGUCUGGAGGAGGGAGGCUAGAUUUUGAGCCGUGGGUUGUAGUUUCUUGGACUGACAGUCGUCCCCACCUGUACUGGUCUCCCUGCUGGGGAAUGGGAAAUGAUCCCUCAGUCAAACUGGAGGUUAGUUAAAUAUCUGUUAAUUUUAAGGAGCCUGGAGUUCCUUUGUUAGUCCUGAAAUAGCUUGUGGAGGAUCUUCGCUCAAAAGUGGAGGGAAGGCAGACAUUCAUUGAAGACUUAUAUGGUUUGUGAAAUCAUGUGCAUGUGAAAUAAUGUGGUUUCUAGUUACAGCUGAUUCCUGUGAAAUAAAGUGCUCUAUUGCUUCAAGAAGAUAUGUCACUGAAAGGAGCUGAGAAGAGCUAUGUAGGCUUCCUGGAAGUUCUGAUUAAAGCCUUAUAGUGGUGUAAUAGCUUGGGAAAAGGGAGUUAUAGCCUUAUGUUUUUAAAAUACUUAUGCUUUUCCUGGAGGUAAGUACAGUGCAUUUGCUCAAGAUAAUGCUGUGCAGUAGUAGUGCACAGCACUUGCCCUAUGGUACGACCGAGUCACAUGUUGGAGGGAGGCUGUCAUGAGAAAUGUUGUGUGAUGCAAUUAUGAAUUAGUUAACCUAAACCUUGUAGUCUCUUAAGAUUUGUUAAAACUACAGCAAUACAUUCAGGUCUUCCAUCUCCUUAAAUCCAGUUCCCUCCAGCUUAAAAAAAAGGGGGAAGGGGGCAUGAGGGGGAAGACCAGUUCUCUGCCUUCCCCAUUCAUUAUCCCAUAAAAUGUCAGUUGUGUUGGGAGAGGAGCUGCACCUUACAUAGCCACCCUUCUCUCCCCACCCAAGCUUGUCCAAUUUUGCCGUACUUAUUGCUGGAGAAAAGGAGUGGAGGGAGUAUAAUAAAUUUUUGCUCACAUAACUUUCAGUAAUAAUUGCACAUAAUUGAAUAAUUCUGAAUUAACAAAUGUAGCCUCCUUUGUUUCUUUUCUUACUCUGUGUUCCCAUUGUGGAUGAAUUAUCUUUGGAGUUAGUUUGGCUUGUUCGGGGGGUUGGGGGGGAAGGGCCAUUUUAGACUUUAAGCUUAUGCUUACAUCAGUGCAGCUGCUCAUUGAAUAACGAUGGUAAGUAUUGUGAUGGCGUAAUUGAGGGGGGUCCUAUAACUGGAAAAAACCUCACAAAUGCUAAAUUUUUAUCUAAGACAAGUCUACUGGCUAAUGACUGUUUACAUUUUUAGUUAAAUUGCUUUAGCAACAGCUUGUUACACAUGCAUUGAUUUCCUGCCUCCCCACCUGUUUCACGGUGAUGCUGCUCUGGAGAGGAGGCAUGGAAACGUUGCUUUACAAAUUCAAUUAUUUCAUUUCUUUCAGUAUUUCUUUGCCUGAAGAUGCUGCUAAUAUCAGAUAACAGUUGCUACAGCCCGUUGAAACAUGGAAAUAAGGAAUCUCUGGCAAGAGACAAGUACAAUAGAGUUCUGCAUGUUUUAUAGGUCACUUUCAUCAGUGUGGGGAUGUCUGAUAUUUGUCCAUGUAUGGAUUUUCCUCAUAGAUUACAACUUGUCAGAGAUUCUCAUGAUGAAACCUGUGUCACAUGUCUCAAACUUGCAUAUUCUCAUCACACUGUUCACUUUGAAAGUGCUAAUGUCAUAGUCUCUUUUGUGACCCAACAGGUCUUAAUUGCAAGAUCUACAACAGGUGUACAAGCAGUCUGCAGCCCUAUUGCAGAAAUACCUGUUGUCUCAAUACUUCAUAUAAAAAGGCUUAAAGUGACUUGAAGGCCUGCCUUUGGCAUUUCUUAAAUACGUAGGUAUAGUCUGUUUUAAUGCCAUCUAUGAAAACUUAAUCCACUCUAUAUGGUCCUCAGGCUACUAUCGUGUUACCUUUGUUUGUCAGCAUCCUACACUGCAGAAACUGCAGGUUGUCUUUGCUGCUAAAGUGGUUUUAGUCACGUGGGUCUUAGGUAAGUAGCCACCUAGUGUCCUGAGAAUCACUGGAAGGGGUUGGAUGCUCCUGCAGGAGGGUGGGUAAAAAUAUGUGGCUACUCUGCUUGUCUUCUCAAAUUGCUUAGCCAAGGUCAUAUGUAGCAAUCUGGCUUCAUAUCUGUGCUUUCAUUCUGACAAGAUGCUUGCUUUUUAUGAAAACUUCAGGAGGUUAGCUGCUAUAAAUUCAGCCUUUACUAGAUAGCCUACUAAACAGGCUUACUAACUGGAUGAGAAGUAUAUAAGUUUGAGAUUAAACGUACAUGAAAUAAGAAAGGAUGGAUCUUAGGAUUCACCUGAACUGUGUAAGUAUGCUGUGUCGUAAUAUGUAAUUUUUAACGUGUCUGGUGUCAUGGUACAUCCAUGUCAGUGCACCAUGGCUAACUGCUGUCAAAAUGUUGGUGUUUUCCGAGUUCCUGCAUAUUAAUUGUCAGUCCUUAUUGUAAUUUCUUGCCAUGUAAACUAGCUGGGGUAGAAAUUUGUAUGUGCUCAGUUUUCUUAGUUACCUAGCCACAAAACUUUGUAGGAGCUGCCCACGCUUUUUUGGCUGGGAACAAGGUGGGUGGACUGGGAAAGAAAAGUGAGAGCCAAGAAACUGUUACAGACCAUCACCAUUUUAGAGUUUAUAAGGAGGGAAUGGGACAAACUAUUUCACCUUCCAAUUACUGCUCUGGUUUUAGAAGCUGAAGAAACUGCUCUUAAGGUUUUUUGGUAUGUGAUGGCCUCACAUAGGACAGCUUCCUGAAGAGUUACUGGGGUGCUGCAAGCGCCAGAACAGUGCUUUAACAGCAGUCAAGAACUUUAAGUAGCGUGGACAUGUUCUCUAAUUGAGAUAUGGCAGCAGUUCAAUACCAGUUAUACAACAGAAAAGGACGUGCAGGCCACUGCAAGUCCCUGGAUUCAUAGGAACUGGUUUCUGAAAGAACUGCUGAUUUUAUCACAGAUAAAAGCUCAGAUUCUUCCAGAA